UAGAGUUUGAUCCUGGCUCAGGAUGAACGCUAGCUACAGGCUUAACACAUGCAAGUCGAGGGGAAACGGCAUUGAGUGCUUGCACUCUUUGGACGCCGACCGGCGCACGGGUGAGUAACGCGUAUCCAACCUUCCCAUUACUGUGGGAUAACCUGCCGAAAGGCAGACUAAUACCGCAUAGUCUUCGAUGACGGCAUCAGAUUUGAAGUAAAGAUUUAUCGGUAAUGGAUGGGGAUGCGUCUGAUUAGCUUGUUGGCGGGGUAACGGCCCACCAAGGCAACGAUCAGUAGGGGUUCUGAGAGGAAGGUCCCCCACAUUGGAACUGAGACACGGUCCAAACUCCUACGGGAGGCAGCAGUGAGGAAUAUUGGUCAAUGGACGGAAGUCUGAGCCAGCCAAGUAGCGUGCAGGAUGACGGCCCUAUGGGUUGUAAACUGCUUUUGUAUGGGGAUAAAGUUAGGGACGUGUCCCUAUUUGCAGGUACCAUACGGAUAAGGACCGGCUAAUUCCGUGCCAGCAGCCGCGGUAAUACGGAAGGUCCAGGCGUUAUCCGGAUUUAUUGGGUUUAAAGGGAGCGUAGGCUGGAGAUUAAGUGUGUUGUGAAAUGUAGACGCUCAACGUCUGACUUGCAGCGCAUACUGGUUUCCUUGAGUACGCACAACGUUGGCGGAAUUCGUCGUGUAGCGGUGAAAUGCUUAGAUAUGACGAAGAACUCCGAUUGCGAAGGCAGCUGACGGGAGCGCAACUGACGCUUAAGCUCGAAGGUGCGGGUAUCAAACAGGAUUAGAUACCCUGGUAGUCCGCACAGUA
Molecule: ribosomal RNA, 810 nt
Filed under: uncultured bacterium
Lineage: Bacteria
Description: bacterial SSU rRNA
Rfam family: Bacterial small subunit ribosomal RNA
Source: RNAcentral